Molecule: ribosomal RNA, 470 nt
Filed under: uncultured bacterium
Lineage: Bacteria
Description: bacterial SSU rRNA
Rfam family: Bacterial small subunit ribosomal RNA
Source: RNAcentral
GAUGAACGCUGGCGGCGUGCUUAACACAUGCAAGUCGAACGGAGUUAUCUGGAAGCUUGCUUCCUGAUAACUUAGUGGCGGACGGGUGAGUAACGCGUGGGUGACCUGCCUUAUACUGGGGGAUAACACUUAGAAAUAGGUGCUAAUACCGCAUAAGCGCACAGUCCUGCAUGGGACAGUGUGAAAAACUCCGGUGGUAUAAGAUGGACCCGCGUCUGAUUAGCUAGUUGGUGAGGUAACGGCUCACCAAGGCGACGAUCAGUAGCCGGUCUGAGAGGAUGAACGGCCACAUUGGGACUGAGAUACGGCCCAGACUCCUACGGGAGGCAGCAGUGGGGAAUAUUGGGCAAUGGGGGAAACCCUGACCCAGCAACGCCGCGUGAAGGAAGAAGGCCUUCGGGUUGUAAACUUCUUUUACCAGGGACGAAUAAAUGACGGUACCUGGAGAAAAAGCAACGGCUAACUACGUG